Long non-coding RNA from Lontra canadensis (Northern American river otter), 137 nucleotides. RefSeq lists it as uncharacterized. The transcript is spliced from 3 exons. NCBI's taxonomy places the organism in Eukaryota, Metazoa, Chordata, Mammalia, Carnivora, Mustelidae. The record is from RefSeq and is a predicted model, not a curated record.
CCCACUGAGCCACCCAGGCGCCCCAGUCUUUUUUGUUUUAAUAUAAUCACCUUUAAGAAUUCUCUAUUUCCUGGGGCUUUUUUUUUUUUUUUAAGAUUUUAUUUAUUUAUUUGACAGAGAUCACAAGUAGGCAGAGA